AACGCACAUUGCGCCCGCUAGUAUUCUGGCGGGCAUGCCUGUUCGAGCGUCAUUUCAACCCUCAAGCCCGGCUUGGUGUUGGGGCACUACAGCCUUCUGUAGGCCCUGUAAAAUAGUGGCGGACCCGCUGUAAACCUGAGCGUAGUAGUUACUUCUCGCUUCUGGAUUGCGGCGGUCUCUAUGCCGUGAAACCCCCUAUUCUAAAAGGUUGACCUCGGAUCAGGUAGGAAUACCCGCUGAACUUAA
This 246-nucleotide unclassified non-coding RNA is filed under the name uncultured fungus. Its description in RNAcentral is "partial contains 5.8S ribosomal RNA, internal transcribed spacer 2, and large subunit ribosomal RNA". Lineage: Eukaryota; Fungi. The record is from RNAcentral.